RNAcentral lists this ribosomal RNA (503 nucleotides) under uncultured bacterium. RNAcentral's name for it is "bacterial SSU rRNA". It matches the Rfam family "Bacterial small subunit ribosomal RNA", at positions 19 to 518 of the family's 1533-position model. The record is from RNAcentral.
AUGGCUCAGGAUGAACGCUAGCGGCAGGCUAACACAUGCAAGUCGAGGGGCAUCGGGAGUAGCAAUACUGCCGGCGACCGGCGCAAGGUGCGUAACGCGUGAGCAACAUGCCCGUAUCAGGGGGAUAAUCCAUGGAAACGUGGUCUAAUACCCCAUAGUAAUUAUGUAAGGCAUCUUAUAUAAUUUAAAACUUUGGUGGAUACGGAUUGGCUCGCGUGACAUUAGCUGGAUGGUAAGGUAACGGCUUACCAUGGCUACGAUGUCUAGGGGUUCUGAGAGGAAGGUCCCCCCACACUGGAACUGAGACACGGUCCAGACUCCUACGGGAGGCAGCAGUGAGGAAUAUUGGACAAUGGAUGGAAAUCUGAUCCAGCCAUGCCGCGUGCAAGGAAGACGGCCCUAUGGGUUGUAAACUGCUUUUGUAUGGGAGCAAUAAGGGCUACGUGUAGUCCGAUGAGAGUACCAUACGAAUAAGCACCGGCUAACUCCGUGCCAGCAGCCGC